AUAGCUCAGCUGGGAGAGCACUUGCCUUACAAGCAAGGGGUCACAGGUUCGAGCCCUGUU
RNAcentral lists this transfer RNA (60 nucleotides) under Firmicutes bacterium HGW-Firmicutes-9. RNAcentral's name for it is "tRNA-Val". It matches the Rfam family "tRNA", at positions 7 to 64 of the family's 71-position model. Rfam says of the family: Transfer RNA (tRNA) molecules are approximately 80 nucleotides in length. Lineage: Bacteria; Bacillati; Bacillota. The record is from RNAcentral.